Molecule: ribosomal RNA, 849 nt
Filed under: uncultured bacterium
Lineage: Bacteria
Description: bacterial SSU rRNA
Rfam family: Bacterial small subunit ribosomal RNA
Source: RNAcentral
UCGCNUCUGCUGUGAAAGGCUGGGGCUUAACCCUGGUUUUGCAGUGGGUACGGGCUAACUAGAGUGCAGUAGGGGAGACUGGAAUUCCUGGUGUAGCGGUGGAAUGCGCAGAUAUCAGGAGGAACACCGAUGGCGAAGGCAGGUCUNUGGGCUGUAACUGACGCUGAGAAGCGAAAGCAUGGGGAGCGAACAGGAUUAGAUACCCUGGUAGUCCAUGCCGUAAACGUUGGGCACUAGGUGUGGGGGACAUUCCACGUUUUCCGCGCCGUAGCUAACGCAUUAAGUGCCCCGCCUGGGGAGUACGGCCGCAAGGCUAAAACUCAAAGAAAUUGACGGGGGCCCGCACAAGCGGCGGAGCAUGCGGAUUAAUUCGAUGCAACGCGAAGAACCUUACCAAGGCUUGACAUAUACUGGACUGCGUCAGAGAUGGCGUUUCCCUUCGGGGCUGGUAUACAGGUGGUGCAUGGUUGUCGUCAGCUCGUGUCGUGAGAUGUUGGGUUAAGUCCCGCAACGAGCGCAACCCUCGUUCUAUGUUGCCAGCACGUGAUGGUGGGGACUCAUAGGAGACUGCCGGGGUCAACUCGGAGGAAGGUGGGGAUGACGUCAAAUCAUCAUGCCCCUUAUGUCUUGGGCUUCACGCAUGCUACAAUGGCCGGUACAGAGGGUUGCGAUACUGUGAGGUGGAGCUAAUCCCUAAAAGCCGGUCUCAGUUCGGAUUGGGGUCUGCAACUCGACCCCAUGAAGUCGGAGUCGCUAGUAAUCGCAGAUCAGCAACGCUGCGGUGAAUACGUUCCCGGGCCUUGUACACACCGCCCGUCAAGUCACGAAAGUUGGUAACACCCGAAGCNG